AUACGGAGGACGCGAGCGUUAUCCGGAUUCAUUGGGUUUAAAGGGUGCGCAGGCGGCCAUGCAAGUCAGCGGUGAAAGCCCGGGGCCCAACCCCGGAAGUGCCGUUGAUACUGCAUGGCUUGAAUGCGGUCGAGGCGGGCGGAACGUGGGGUGUAGCGGGGAAAUGCGUAGAUAUGCCACAGAAAGCCGAUAGCGGAGGCAGCUCGCCAGGCCUGCAUUGACGCUCGGGCACGAAAGCGUGGGGAUCGAACAGGAUUAGAUCCCCUGGGAGUCCACGCCGUAAACGAUGGGCGCUCGUCGUCGGCGGCAGACAGUCGGCGGCCAAGCGAAAGCGAUAAGCGCCCCACCUGGGGAGUACGGUCGCAAGGCUGAAACUCAAAUGAAUUGACGGGG
Molecule: ribosomal RNA, 393 nt
Filed under: uncultured bacterium
Lineage: Bacteria
Description: partial 16S ribosomal RNA
Rfam family: Bacterial small subunit ribosomal RNA
Source: RNAcentral